This 581-nucleotide ribosomal RNA is filed under the name Anabaena sp. LCRSM-243. RNAcentral's name for it is "bacterial SSU rRNA". It matches the Rfam family "Bacterial small subunit ribosomal RNA", at positions 110 to 731 of the family's 1533-position model. Lineage: Bacteria; Bacillati; Cyanobacteriota; Cyanophyceae; Nostocales; Nostocaceae. The record is from RNAcentral.
GUAACGCGAGAAUCUGGCUUCAGGUCUGGGACAACAGUUGGAAACGACUGCUAAUACCGGAUGUGCCGAGAGGUGAAAGCUUGCUGCCUGAAGAUGAGCUUGCGUCUGUUAGCUAGUGGUGGGGUAAGAGCCUACCAAGGCGACGAUCAGUAGCUGUCUGAGAGGAUGAUCAGCCACACUGGGACUGAGACACGGCCCAGACUCCUACGGGAGGCAGCAGUGGGGAAUUUUCCGCAAUGGGCGAAAGCCUGACGGAGCAAUACCGCGUGAGGGAGGAAGGCUCUUGGGUUGUAAACCUCUUUUCUCAGGGAAGAAAAAAAUGACGGUACCUGAGGAAUAAGCAUCGGCUAACUCCGUGCCAGCAGCCGCGGUAAUACGGAGGAUGCAAGCGUUAUCCGGAAUGAUUGGGCGUAAAGGGUCCGCAGGUGGCUGUGUAAGUCUGCUGUUAAAGAGUCAUGCUCAACAUGAUAAGGGCAGUGGAAACUACAUAGCUAGAGUGCGUUCGGGGCAGAGGGAAUUCCUGGUGUAGCGGUGAAAUGCGUAGAUAUCAGGAAGAACACCGGUGGCGAAAGCGUGUGCUA